RNAcentral lists this long non-coding RNA (221 nucleotides) under Elaeis guineensis (African oil palm). Its description in RNAcentral is "long non-coding RNA (EGUI_LNC029636)". The record is from RNAcentral. Lineage: Eukaryota; Viridiplantae; Streptophyta; Magnoliopsida; Arecales; Arecaceae.
GCCCACAAAAUCGCCUAGAAAAACGCCGAUACGUGUCAUUAUGUUACGUUGCUCUCCACAGCUUUGCGCCUCUCCCCCACGGUUUUCUCGUGCCCUCCACCGUAAACUGCAGUCCAAGUGAUCCCAGCCGUCCGAUCGAGGAUCAGUGCCAUCUUAACCCCACCAUACAAACGGCCGUGGUGUGGAGAUAUAACGGAGAUCAGCACCGUCCAUCCGGCAUC